CGCAGCCUGAUCAGCGAUGCCGCGUGCAAGAAGAAGGCCUUCGGGUUGUAAACUGCUUUUGUCACGGAAGAAAUCCUUUGGGCUAAUACCUCGGAAGGAUGACGGUACCUGAAGAAUAAGCACCGGCUAACUACGUGCCAGCAGCCGCGGUAAUACUUACGGUGCGAGCGUUAAUCGGAAUUACUGGGCGUAAAGCGUGCGCAGGCGGCUUUGCAAGACAGAGGUGAAAUCCCCGGGCUCAACCUGGGAACUGCCUUUGUGACUGCAAGGCUAGAGUACGGCAGAGGGGGAUGGAAUUCCGCGUGUAGCAGUGAAAUGCGUAGAUAUGCGGAGGAACACCGAUGGCGAAGGCAAUCCCCUGGGCCUGUACUGACGCUCAUGCACGAAAGCGUGGGGAGCAAACAGGAUUAGAUACCCUGGUAGUCCACGCCCUAAACGAUGUCAACUGGUUGUUGGACGGCUUGCUGUUCAGUAACGAAGCUAACGCGUGAAGUUGACCGCCUGGGGAGUACGGCCGCAAGGUUGAAACUCAAAG
RNAcentral lists this ribosomal RNA (535 nucleotides) under uncultured bacterium. RNAcentral describes it as "bacterial SSU rRNA". It matches the Rfam family "Bacterial small subunit ribosomal RNA", at positions 376 to 906 of the family's 1533-position model. The record is from RNAcentral.